This is a long non-coding RNA of Sardina pilchardus (European sardine), 156 nucleotides long. RefSeq lists it as uncharacterized. NCBI's taxonomy places the organism in Eukaryota, Metazoa, Chordata, Actinopteri, Clupeiformes, Clupeidae. The record is from RefSeq and is a predicted model, not a curated record. The transcript is spliced from 3 exons.
AGGAGAAGAGUGCAGGGGGAAAAAAUCAAUCCCAGCUCUGCCGGAGGGUCCAGAGAAACACAGAGCAGAAGGAAAGAGGACAAGAGAGAUGGAAACAUGGAGCUCAGAGGGAGGAGAAAGAAGGGGGGACUCACGAAGAUGUAAGGGAGAAAAGGC